GAGCGGAGGAAGGGGAAGGCGGUGGUCGUCGUUCGAGUGGCCUCCUCAGGGUCAGAGUUGAGAAGGGGUGGUGGCUGCUCCUGCCUCCUCCGGAUCCUAGGGCCUGGACCAGCUUGUUCUGAUGCACUGGGUCGCGGUAGCAGAUAAACCAUGGGAACAGCUCUCCUUCCCUCUGCCUUUGAAUUUGUGUGGGGGGCCAGUGUGAGCAGUGAGUGCCCUCACCGGAUGCCCAGGUCCCAGAUGGGUCGCGUUGCACUGGCUCCUCCAAUGUGACUGUCAGGUCUGUUUCCUCUUCGCGACCCCACCUCGCCCCCCACCCCCCAGGUCGCUAGGGGGGCUGCAGCAGGCACAUUUCUGCCCUGCCUGUUUGGGAGUCCUGGCAGAGCCUUCUUGCAGGUCACAACCCGCCUUCUUGGGGGUUCCAGCUUGAGGGGGAGAGGGGGAGCAGCAAGGUCUCAAAUAUGCCCCUGAGGCUUCUGCUUGCCGUCCUGAUUCUCUGCAACUGAGCCUGUGGGGCAGACCCUUGGCUCUGGUCCCUGGGCAGCUCCUCUCGGUUGGUUGUCCCCACUAACACACACAGAUCUCAUACUUGGGUGGAUGAUGGAUAAGGUUGGUCCCUGGGGAAACGCUAGAAAUUGGAUCACUUGGUCUACCCAGUCUUGGAUAGUGAACGGAGCCUCCUGUGUGGACGGAAGCCCAAGAGGGUUGGACCAACCUCCAGCCCAGCCCUGGGUCCAGGUUGAGGUGGGUUUCAUCAUUAAAUGCUUCCUGCAGGUAAGGUUCCAGCUGUCCCCACUCCCAGGAGCAAGCUGUUAGGCUGGGUCCUGUCCACUUCUCUCUGGGUCUGUCUGUUACCUCCUGAGUACCCAUCAGCCCUUUGCCCUGGAUUUUGGACUCCCCAGGCCUUACCUGCAGGUCUUGAGCACAGCUAGUUCUGGACCUAUUCUAUCUGCCUUGUUAGAUCAUGUCCACCCUUCUUGGAGCCUGCUCUCUGUGGCUCCCCCAGCACAAGAGCCUUCAGGCUUCUUAAGUAAGUGGACCUUGUAGGUGCAUAUGGGUUCCAUGUGGAGCCAAACCCCUGCCUAUGUAUUUCAGUAAAUUCUAAGGAUUGCCCUUGGAGUCACCUCCAUGCUCCUCACAGACCGCAAACAUAGCUCCAAGGAUCCACUGCUGUCAGGGUUGGUUUGUGCAUAUAUGUGUGUGUGUGUGUCACUGCAGAUAGGCUGUUCUAGAAUCCACUUGGGCUGCAGUUCCAGCUACCAGAGGUACAGAAUUUCCCAGCCAUUCCACAGCCCCUGGUCACUCACACCCUCCUGGAGGCCUGUGGUCUGCCUGUCUCCAUUCCCCUCCUCUUUACCACUGUGCACAUGCAGCCUUGUACCUUCUCCCUAACUCAGCACCCAAUAUGCACUUUUUCAACAGGGUAUCUCUGCUCCCUAGGAUCUGAUCUUUAUUUUCUUGCAGCCCAAGCUGACCUUCCCAAACUCAUUCUCCUCAUAGUUCUUGAAAGUGUUCCCUCUUUUCAGCUCCUGUAAUUGGCCCCACUUCCUCCUACAAGGUGUUCUGAGUCACUCUUUAUCUGCCAACCAAGGAAUAGUCAGUUCACCGGUAGUUAAGGACAAGCCCUGUAGAGACUGAGUUGCACUGGCGGAAACACUGGGCAUGUGGAUCUAAAUGGCACAUGAGUCCUUCCAGCGCUGCUCCCAGGAGUCCCUCACUGGCAUAAGGCCUAUUGUUAAGGUCAUUUAGGACCACGUCUUCUAAGCAGCACCCACAGAGUGUCACCACUGUGGUACCCUAUUCCCGGCCCAGCUCUGACCUCCUAUUGUCCUCUUGGUCAGAACCAAGAAUUUCCUCCUCUGCUUCAGGGACCCCAAAGCAGGUGCCUCAGAGGGUCCUACUCCCCUUCCUCACUUUCCACCUUGCUCUGCCUCCAACCCUGUUUCUGGCUCACAUGCUCCCCACCCUCCUGCUCUGGUUAUCUCUCCAGAAUCUCUGAGCUCCUUCCACUGGGCCAGAACCCUCUCUCAGAAUGUCAAGCUCUUGAACUCCCACCUCCUCCAAGAAGCUUUUUUGAUAGAUUGGAAGGGACCUAAUACUCUUUCUGACUUCAGCCUUUCCAGCCUUUUCCCAUCAGCAACAGUGGCUACAUAACAACUUGGUUAAGGGCUGGGCUCUGGGUCUAAGAUGUGCAAGAUGGAUAUGGAUGGAAUUUUAAAGACAAGCAGACAAGCUAAUCAAAGAGAUCCAGAAAGAGUAACAACAUUGCUGUUGUAUAUAAGCCGGUGGCAUUGAGAGCUGAGAGGGAGGGUUAUUAUGUUUCUGCAGGGGGAGCCCAAGGGGAAUAAGCCUAGUGAAACCAGAAAGACUUCAUGGAGGAGGUGGGCUUCAUAGAAGGUUGGUGGCUUUCCCACAUUUGCAAGUGUACUCUUCUGGUUAGGUUAUGUUUGGGUUCAUAUUCUGAGAUUCAUCUAUCUUCAUUAUAAUAGUAUCUCUGUGUUGCUUCUCAUCUCUCCAUCUCCCUUAUGUUCCUCUGGGGCAGUGCUGGUUGUGUCAGACUUCCUUAGAUGGGAAAGCCCCUGAGGCCAGUCUCCUUGUCUGUCUUCAUUGCUCUGUAGGUUACCUAGAACAGUGCCUAUUCAGAUUACUGGUUAUUCCUGAAGGUUCUUUAAGGCAAAUACUCUAGGCCCAGACCAAGAACUGGAGGGCCUAGACUGAGGUUUUAGCCUGGAUAGGAUCUGGCCUUAUUGAUGAGUGCAUCCCAUCAGAUUCACCAGAGAUGCUCCUCUCACUCACCCAACCUGGGCAGGUGGGCCCCAUCUUUUAAGAGAACAUCUCCGGACAAUGCUGCUCACACUUUGCCUCCCUUUUGCUCUUCUUAUCUCCCUUCUGAGAAGCCAUAGUCUGGGAGGCAGGACACGGGAGUCCUAGUCUAUGGCUGCCAGUUGUAUGACCUUGGGGAAGUAAUUUCAGCUCUCUGGGACUCGGUUUCAUCAUAUUAAAAUGCAAGGGUUCUACGGAUUUGACUCUUAUUAUCAGAUAAAAAUGAAUAUUAAAAGAACAAGAUAACAUUUUAGGAAUUGGACUAGAGGAGGAUUCCUAAAGCCUCUUUCAACUCCACAGUUCUGAUUCUAAACAAAAUCUGUCCUGUGAAUCUGUUUCACUCUCCAGCUCCAGCCCUGUCUGCUUCUCCCUAAUCUGUUUCUGUCUGAUGGGCUCAGUCUUUGUGUGCACAGCAUCCAUGUGAGGCCUGCACUUCUGCGGUUCACCCCAGGAGAUGAAGGGGAGGGGAGCUUAGGCUCUCAGCAAUGUAAAUCUCCCUAGGUCCCUCCAAGCUUUAGAGGGGCCCCUGAAAGGUGAGAAGGCAAAGAAGAGGAGGGCAAGAUGGCUGAGGCCCAGGAUAUCCCCAGUAAACAUCAAAGGCCCCAGAAACCAAGGUCAUUGCACCUCCCUGUAGGGGCCCCUACAAGGAGGCUAAUGAUGACACAGGUUCUUAAAACAGCCAGGAUGGAGACCCAGCCUGGGCAUCUGAGUGCCUGGAUCCUGCUGCCCCCCCCCCCACCCUGGCACCCCCAACUCCCUUGCCCAUCAGUCUCAGCUCCUGAGGUGUGCAGAGGGGGUGGGUAUGCACGAGCCCAGACUUCUCUCCCUCUCCUGAGGACCUUACCCCAGGGGAGAAGUGGGUGGCUAAAACAAAGGAGGGGAGCAGAACCCCUCUACAGAUAACAGUGGAGGGGGGAGGGGGUAAGCAGAGAGAAGAGAGGAAUUGACAGAGGAGGUGCUGCUAGCUGUCAGGAGGGAGACCCAAAUUCUCAUGUCUUCCCAUUUCGCAGGCUGUUUGCUAGAAGGACUUAAUUAAGGAGCCCAAAUAUAGUUUCUUUUGAACAGUGAAUAGGGCUGGGAGCACAGAUGAGGAAUGUGAUGCUCUGGGGUGGGGAGAGAAGGGACCAAUGCUGAGAUGCUGGAGGGCCCAGGGUGAAGGGGACAGAGAAGACAGGGGUGAGCUGGUGACUCCUUUUCCCUGCCUUAAGCUCUGCUGCUUUCCUUGAUGGAAGGGGGGCCAUUUCUUCCUUUCCCAUCCUCUGUCCUGAUCUCCCUCCAACUCCCUGGCUCCUGCCUUCACCUCCUUUACUGUCCCCUGAGAACAGCUCUCUCUGUCCAGUCCUCCCAGCACUCACCAGAAGCUUUAAGUCUUGGUUCACCUUCUGCCUCCACCAAGCCCCCUUUUUGCCUCCUCCCUUUCGUCCCCCACUCCUUCUCCUCCCAGGCCCCGCUGGCGCCCAGCAUAGCACUACAGAUGUAGGAGCAGAUCAAGAAGGGUGGGGGUGGUAGCUGUUGCUUUUCUGGGAUAUUCUUAGCCUGUCUGGGGGCUGGAGCUGGAAUCAGCGUUUCCAUCUCAACCAGGCAGGUGGCUGCCAGAAACUGCCACUGUGACUGGGUCUUCAUCUGGUUCCAUAUCCCUUAUCCUGUCCCUUCCUCCUCUAUAUUGAUUUCAUCGAUGAACACAGACCCUCUGAGAGUCCAGCCUUCCCACCCUUGUGCCCUAGAUGGAAGGUUUCCUCUGCCUAUCAGGCAUAGCCCCAGGAAGGUGUGCAAACCUCACUGGAGGCUCUGCGGGGAAAGAAGGGCCUUCGAGAACUCUAGCUCAGAUGCUCCCUAGAGUGGAACACAGCCCUCUCCUCUCUGCCCCCAGGCCCUCUUCUUUCAUCUGCCCCCAGCAACCCCUGCAUGGUACUCAGUCCCCAGACUGUAUUCACCACCAUGAAGGCCUUUCUUAUCUUGAUUUACAGGAAUCACUCAGGGGCCCUAGAGUUUCAGAAGCUGCCUCCUGAAAGCGGCUGAACCCUGGAGUCCAGGCCUCCUUUGGGCCAGAACAAGGGGCUCACUGACCCAGAUCUCUCCCCACAUCUUUUUUUUUUUGAGACAAAGUCUCACUCUUUUGCCCAGGCUAGAGUGCAGUGGCAUGAUCUUCACUCAUUCCUGGGCUCAAGGGAUCCUCCCACCUCAGCCUCCCAAGUAGUUGGGACCACAGGCAUGCAUCACCAGGCCUGGCUAAUUUUUGUACUUUUUGUAGAGAUGGAGUUUCACCAUGCUGCCCAGGCUGGUCUCUAACUCCUGGGCUCAAGCAGUCUGCCCACCUCAGCCUCAAAGUGUUAGGAUUACAGGCAUGAGCCACCUCGCCCAGCCUUCUCAGAUGCCCUUAUCAGUAGAGGGAGGGGCAAAGAAGAAAUCUCACUCAUUCACAAAUCGCACAAAAAAUGUUUGUCACCUUAAGAGGGACAGACAGUGCAGGGUCUCCUAUGUGGGUUCUGAGGUCAUUCGGUCUAUGUUCAAAUCCAGCCCCUCCACUUAUGACCUGGGGCCCUUGGGGCAAGUUUCUUAAUUCUUCUGAGGUCUAUAAAAGUGGACCAUACAAGGUGCAGUAGGAAGAGAUCACCAUCCACAGUCGGGCUGAGGCUGAAAGCACGUACCAGAUCAAGUAUGAGGAGCUGCAGACGCUGGCUGGGAAGCAUGGGGAUGACCUGCGUUGUGCAAAGACAGAUCUCCGAGAUGAACCAGAACAUCAGCAGGCUCCAGGCUGAGACUGAGGGCCUCAAAGGCCAGGGGGCUUCCCUGGAGGCCGCCAUCGCAGAUGCCGAGCAGUGGGGGGAGCUGGCCAUUAAAGAUGCCAACACCAAGCUGUCUGAGCUGGAGGCCGCCAUGCAGCGGGCCAAGCAGGACAUGGCACGCAGCUGGGUGAGUACCAGAAGCUGGCCCUGGACAUCGAGAUCGCCACCUACAGGAAGCUGCUGGAGGGCGAGGAGAGCCGUCUGGAGUCUGGGAUGCAGAACGCUGGAAUGCUAUGGCGUGAUCUCGGCUCACCGCAACCUCCACUUCCCAGGUUCUAGCGAUUCUCCUGCCUCGGCCUCCCGAGUAGCUGGGAUUACAGUCUUGCUGAGGCUGGAAUGCAGUGGUGUGAUAAUGGCUCACUACAGCCUCAACCUCCUGGACUCAAGUGAUCCUCCCACCUCAGCCUCCUGUGCAGCUGGGACCACAGGCAUACACCACCAUGCCCAGCUAAUUUAGAGCCACUCUCCUGAUGCUCAUUAGCAAGCCAGCCUCUGGCCCCUCCUAGGCUUGGUGAUAUCACCCCUCACCUGUCGCAGCUCCUGCCUCUCUCUUCCCAAAAACCUCUGCAGCUUUCACUUCCCCAGCAUGAUCUUAGUUUAGGCUUUCACAAAAGACUGGAAGAGCAGUGGCCUGGAAGCAACAUCUGAAAUAUCAACUUUUUUGUGACCAGAGACACCAAGGGGGAUUGGCAAGAGGAAAAGAUGGAGUCGGAGGCUCCAGGCUCAGUCCUUGGAGCUCUUCUCUCUGUAUCCUCUUUCUAGGUGAAAUUCACCCAUAUGUUGAUGACAUUCAAAUUUACGUCUCCAACCUGGAUCUCUCUUUUAAACACCAGACCUACUUGAGAUCUCCACUUGGAUGUAUUAUAGGCAUUUCAACAUGGCCAAAACCAACUCCUGAUACUCCCUCCCCACUUGCUCCUGCUGCUGCUCCCAUCUCCGUUAACAGUAAUUCUAGUUUACUAAAUCUCAGAUGAAUGUUUUGGAGUUAUCUUUGACUCCUCUUUUUAUUUCACGCCCAUAUUUAAUGCAUCAGCAAAUCUGGAUGGUUCUGCCUGCAAAAUAUAUCCAGAAUUCAACCACUGCUCACUACCUCCUUUGCCUCCACCCUGGCCCAAGCCACCACUAUCUCUUGCUUGGUUUAUUGCAAUAGCCCCCUAACGGUUCUUCCUACUUCUUCCCUACCUGCAGUGCUUUCUCAAAAUGGUAGAUAGAGUGGUCCUGUUAAAAUGAAAGCCAGAUCAUGUCACUCUUCUGUUUAACACCCUCCAACGGCUCCCAUCUCUGGUAGAGGAAAAUCCCAAGUCUUUACUAUGACCUACAAGGGCCUAUUGGUAGAUUAAAGAUAGUCACAAAUUAUUUGACACUCUUCCCAUUGAAAGGUAUAUUGCUAUCUCCCUUUCCAUGACUUCUUUGACCAAUGAAAUAUGGCAGAAGUGGCCAGUCGCGGUAGCUCAUGUCUGUAAUUCCAGCAUUUUGGGAGGCCAAGGCAGGUGGAUCCCUGAGGUCAGGAGUUCGAGACCAGCCUGGCCAACGUGGUGAAACCCCGUCUCUACUAGAAAUAUGGCAGAAGUGCCACUGUGUCUGUUUCUGUGUCCAGGCCUUAGAAGACUGGCAUUUUCUAUUUCCUGUCUCUUGAAACACUUGCUCUUGGAACCUUCAGACACCAUGUAAGAAAUCCAGCUAUUCUAAUAGAGACCACAUGGAGAGGCCCUGAGACUACAUGGAGAGGAAGAGGGGCCUAGCUGAACCCAGCCUUCCAGCUAUCUCCCCCAGGCACCAAACAUGAGAGUGAAACCACGUGGAAUCCUACAGACCAACCCAUCUGCCAGUGAACAUCAGAGUGACCUUAUUUGAUGCUAGUAGAGCAGAAAAAAAUGCCCAGUUGAAUUUUGUCCAAAUUCCUGAUCCACCAAUUGUGAGAUACAAAAAGGUGGUUGUUUUAAGCCACAAAACUUGAGAUAGUUUCUCAUGCAGAAAUAGAGAACCAAACCAGCUAAUCCGACCUUGCCCCCUUCCAUCAUCUUCAUGACCUCAUUUACUGCCUUUUUUUUCCCUCAUGCCUCUCUAGUCAUCGCUGCUUCCUUGCAGUUCCUCAAAUCCUCCAGACCAGCUUCUGCCCAGGACUUUUGCAUGUGCUGUUCCCAGUGUACAUUCUUCCACCUGCACAUAAAUAAAGCAGUGUAAACUGUAAUUACUGUUUUGAGCCCUACUUUUUUCAGUUUAUAUAAAUCUUUCUGUUGGAAUAGUCUACUAAAACAUUUUUUUUUGAGACAGUGUCUUGCUCUGUUGCCCAGGCUGGAGUACAGUGACACAAUCAUGGCUCACUGCAACCUCACCUCCUGAGCUCAAACAAUCCUCCCUCUUUAGCCUCCUGAGUAACUGGGACUACAGGGGCGCAUCACCACAUCCAGUGAAUUUUUUAAAUUUUUUUGUAGACACAGGGUCUCACUAUGUUGCCCAGGCUGGUCUCAAACUUCUGGGCUCAAGCAAUCCUCCCACCUUAGCCUCCCAAAGUGCUGGAAUUAUAGUUGUGAGCCACUGUACGUGGCCUAAAACAUUUUUUAGUGGACACAGUGUUCAUUUGUGUGGCUAUUUGUUUUACCAACAUUUAAUUAUGAAAACUUUCAAAUAUACAGAAAAAUUGAGAGAUUUGUACAGUGAAAACACAUCUAUUUGCCACCUCAAGUCUAUAAUCAACCUUUUACUAUAUUUGCUUUAUCACAUAUCUAUUCCUCUAUCCAACUUGCUCUUUUAAAUACAUUUCAUCCUAUUCAACAUAGUACUGGAAGUCCUAGCCAGAGUAAUCAGUCAAGAGAAAGGGAAAAAAGGCAUCCAAAUAGGAGGAGAGGAAGUCAAGCUAUCUCUCUUUGCAGAUGAUUUUAUACCUAGAAAACCCCAUAGUCUCUGCCCAAAAGCUCCUAGAUCUAUAAACAUCUUCAGCAAAGUUUCAGUAUACAAAGUCAAUGUACAAAAAUCAGUAGCAUUUCUAUACACCAACAACAGUCAAGCUGAGAGCCAAAUCAUGAAUGCAAUCCUAUUCACAAUAACCACAAAAAAUACCUAUUAAUACAGCUAACCAAGGAGGUAAAAAAUCUGUCCAACAAGAGUUACAAAACACAGCUGAAAGAAAUCAGAGAUGACACAAACAAAUGGAAAAAUAUUCCAUGCUCAUGGACUGGAAGAAUCAAUAGUGUUAAAAUGCUCAUACUGCCCAAAGCAAUUUGCAGAUUCAAUGCUAUUCCUAUCAAACUACCAAGCACAUUUUCACAGAAUUAGAAAAAAAAAUAUUCUAAAAUUCAUAUGGAACCAAAAAGAGACCAAAUAGCCAACACAAUCCUAAGCAAAAAGAACAAAGCUGAAGGCAUCAUACUACCUGGCUUCUAACUAU
Molecule: long non-coding RNA, 8997 nt
Filed under: Homo sapiens (human)
Lineage: Eukaryota; Metazoa; Chordata; Mammalia; Primates; Hominidae
Description: non-protein coding LINC01494:8
Source: RNAcentral